This 187-nucleotide non-coding RNA is filed under the name Desulfosporosinus acidiphilus. The record is from RNAcentral. Lineage: Bacteria; Bacillati; Bacillota; Clostridia; Eubacteriales; Desulfitobacteriaceae.
ACUGAAUAAUACGGAAUAAGUGAUGCUUUCUUGAGGGAAAGCAUUGAAAAGGGAAGUCAGUUAAAAGCUGACGCGGUGCCCGCCACUGUAAAAGGGAGUUAACUCACAUGUGUCACUGGAUUUGCUGGGAAGACGUGAGUUAAUGUGGAUCUUGAGCCAGGAGACCUGCUUCUUCCGCAUAAAGCUA